Lolium rigidum is the source of this 177-nucleotide long non-coding RNA. RefSeq lists it as uncharacterized. The transcript has 3 exons. The record is from RefSeq and is a predicted model, not a curated record. NCBI's taxonomy places the organism in Eukaryota, Viridiplantae, Streptophyta, Magnoliopsida, Poales, Poaceae.
CCUCGACGAGAACCUCCUCAGCCCUCGCCAUCCCUCCCCCGCGCGCGAUCAGCAGGCAUACAGAAAAAGUUUGUGCUCGUAGAGACCUCUCUCCAGCAAAUUCUUAAGGGACAAGACGAUCUCAAGGUGCUCUUUGAAGGCAGCACAAAAAGCAAUCCUGACCAGAUGAGUGCUCUG